This 490-nucleotide ribosomal RNA is filed under the name bacterium Chibwantu21. RNAcentral describes it as "bacterial SSU rRNA". It matches the Rfam family "Bacterial small subunit ribosomal RNA", at positions 215 to 697 of the family's 1533-position model. The record is from RNAcentral.
UCACUUUUGGAUGGUCCCGCGGCGUAUUAGCUAGAUGGUGGGGUAACGGCUCACCAUGGCAAUGAUACUUAGCCGACCUGAGAGGGUAAUCGGCCUCAUUGGGACUGAGACACGGCCCAAACUCCUACGGGAGGCAGCAGUAGGGAAUCUUCCACAAUGGACGAAAGUCUGAUGGAGCAACGCCGCGUGAGUGAAGAAGGGUUUCGGCUCGUAAAACUCUGUUGUUAAAGAAGAACAUAUCUGAGAGUAACUGUUCAGGUAUUGACGGUAUUUAACCAGAAAGCCACGGCUAACUACGUGCCAGCAGCCGCGGUAAUACGUAGGUGGCAAGCGUUGUCCGGAUUUAUUGGGCGUAAAGCGAGCGCAGGCGGUUUUUUAAGUCUGAUGUGAAAGCCUUCGGCUCAACCGAAGAAGUGCAUCGGAAACUGGGAAACUUGAGUGCAGAAGAGGACAGUGGAACUCCAUGUGUAGCGGCGAAAUGCGCAGAUAU